Molecule: ribosomal RNA, 352 nt
Filed under: uncultured bacterium
Lineage: Bacteria
Description: partial 16S ribosomal RNA
Rfam family: Bacterial small subunit ribosomal RNA
Source: RNAcentral
CCUACGGGAGGCAGCAGUGAGGAAUAUUGGUCAAUGGCCGAGAGGCUGAACCAGCCAAGUCGCGUGAGGGAAGACGGCCCUACGGGUUGUAAACCUCUUUUGUCGGGGAGCAAAGCGAGUCACGUGUGACUCAUUGAGAGUACCCGAAGAAAGAGCAUCGGCUAACUCCGUGCCAGCAGCCGCGGUAAUACGGAGGAUGCGAGCGUUAUCCGGAUUUAUUGGGUUUAAAGGGUGCGUAGGCGGGGGUGCAAGGCAGCGGUCAAAUUGCGGGGCUCAACCCCGGACUGCCGUUGAAACUGGAUCCAUUGAGUGGGAGAGAGGUAUGCGGGAUGCGUGGUGGAGCGGUGAAAUG